RNAcentral lists this ribosomal RNA (471 nucleotides) under uncultured bacterium. Its description in RNAcentral is "bacterial SSU rRNA". It matches the Rfam family "Bacterial small subunit ribosomal RNA", at positions 355 to 825 of the family's 1533-position model. The record is from RNAcentral.
UGGGGAAUUUUGGACAAUGGGCGCAAGCCUGACCCAGCAAUACCGCGUGUGUGAAGAAGGCCUGAGGGUUGUAAAGCACUUUCAAUGGGGAGGAAAAAGGCAAGUUUAAUACGCUUGCCCUUGACAUUACCCAUACAAGAAGCACCGGCUAACUCCGUGCCAGCAGCCGCGGUAAUACGGAGGGUGCGAGCGUUAAUCGGAAUUACUGGGCGUAAAGCGUGCGUAGGCGGCCUGCCAAGUCAGAUGUGAAAGCCCAGGGCUCAGCUCUGGAAGUGCACUAGAUACUGGGAAGCUUGAGUAUCGGAGGGGAGAGUGGAAUUCCUGGUGUAGCGGUGAAAUGCGUAGAUAUCAGGAGGAAUACCGGUGGCGAAAGCGACUCUCUGGACGAUUACUGACGCUGAGGCACGAAAGCGUGGGGAGCAAACAGGAUUAGAUACCCACGUAGUCCCUGAGCGGGCUGGCAAGGCGCAU